CCAGACUCCUACGGGAGGCAGCAGUGGGGAAUAUUGCGCAAUGGGGGGAACCCUGACGCAGCCAUGCCGCGUGAAUGAAGAAGGCCUUCGGGUUGUAAAGUUCUUUCGGUAUUGAGGAAGGAGUGUAUGUUAAUAGCAUGCAUUAUUGACGUUAAAUACAGAAGAAGCACCGGCUAACUCCGUGCCAGCAGCCGCGGUAAUACGGAGGGUGCGAGCGUUAAUCGGAAUAACUGGGCGUAAAGGGCACGCAGGCGGUUAUUUAAGUGAGGUGUGAAAGCCCCGGGCUUAACCUGGGAAUUGCAUUUCAGACUGGGUAACUAGAGUACUUUAGGGAGGGGUAGAAUUCCACGUGUAGCGGUGAAAUGCGUAGAGAUGUGGAGGAAUACCGAAGGCGAAGGCAGCCCCUUGGGAAUGUACUGACGCUCAUGUGCGAAAGCGUGGGGAGCAAACAGGAUUAGAUACCCUGGUAGUCCACGCUGUAAACGCUGUCGAUUUGGGGAUUGGGCUUAAAGCUUGGUGCCCGUAGCUAACGUGAUAAAUCGACCGCCUGGGGAGUACGGCCGCAAGGUUAAAACUCAAAUGAAUUGACGGGGCCCGCACAAG
RNAcentral lists this ribosomal RNA (603 nucleotides) under uncultured bacterium. RNAcentral's name for it is "bacterial SSU rRNA". It matches the Rfam family "Bacterial small subunit ribosomal RNA", at positions 331 to 929 of the family's 1533-position model. The record is from RNAcentral.